GAUUUUACAGGCUCAUAGGUAGAAGGGACUUGCCUUGUCUCUGAUGAGGCUUUAAACUGAGGAUUUUGAGUUAAUGCUGAAAUGAGUUGAGACUUUAGGGGACUGCUAGGACUGCACGAUUGGUUUUGAAAAGUGAAGAUACGAGAUUUGGGAGGGCCAGGGACGGAAUGAUAGGAUUUGGCUCUGUGUCCCCACGCAAAUCUUAUCUUGUAGCUCCCAUAAUUCUGUGUUGUGAGAGGAACCUGGUGGGAGAUGAUUCUACCACAGGGGUGAGUCUUUCCCAUGCUGUUGUUGUGAUAGUGAAUGAGUCUCAGGAGAUAUGAUGGUUUUAAAAACAGUAGUUGCCCUGUACAAGCUCUCUUUGCCUGUCCCCAUCUACGUAAGAUGUGACUUGCUCCUCCUUUCCUUCUGCCAUGACUGUGAGGCUUCCCCAGCCAAGUGGAACUCCAUGACAGCCAUAUCUCAGGCAGCCCAGAGGUAUUGAAGCCUCAGCUUCCAAACAUCACGUGGAUGGUGUCAGGGAACUCAAUUCCAAGCUGUACCAGAAAGUUUUUGUUCUUCCAAGAAAAUACUAAGCUGAAAAGAUAAUUGGUAUUCAAGACACACAUGUUUUCUACUAGCAAAUAAGAAGAAAGCACAACAGUAUUCUUGAAGGAUGCUGAUUUUUUUGUGUUUUGCAAUUCUGCAUUUUCAAAAAUGACAUCUGUUUUGUGAGUGACUAAAAACUCUGAGGGAAGAAUUUGUAAAAGGAAAUAAAAUUGUGUUUCUGAGCAUUUUGCUCCUUACUGCCUUCAAAUGAUAUUUGUUUAGUUGGCCCAUUUUUCCAAAAACAUUGUCAAGGCAGAAGUUUCCUGUUUCCUGCGCUUAUUUAUGACAGGUUUGAAAUGGUGUUCCAGUGGCAGAUAUUUUAAAAGUUUCUUCUAGCACUCUUUCCCCAUGUAUCAAAUCAUCUUCUCUUUCCAGCACUCAAAAAAACUGUGCCUUCUAGGAGCAUAAAUGAAUUUAAUGCAUUACAUUUAUGUUGUGUGUUUCUAGAAAGAACUCAGAAAUAUUUUACUGUCUUCGCUUUCCUAGGCUGCUCACUUUUUGCCAGUGCAUCAACAAAUAAAAAAGUUUAAGAGAGCCAUUUCUUAUUCAGCUCCAUGUCUUUGAUUUAUCACUUCCUAUUCCAUAAAUUUCCUGUCGCUGCUUCACACAAAUAAAAAGACGUAGUAAUUCAUGGAGUUUGUCAGCCAAAUUCCAGUUCUGGAGAAGAAUAAAUAUUAAGGAAGGUCAUUGGAGGAAGUUCACUCUGCAAAUGGUGCAGUGUGAGGCUGGAACCCUCGCCCCUGGCACUAUCAAAUCUGUACCUGGCCAUUCUGAAAGAAUACCCUCCUAAUUAAGAAAACAACAACACCCACACUCAUAGCAGCUUCCAAGUUAUAACUGUCAGAAUCAACAGUCUUCAGAGUAGGCAGAAAACUCAUAGACUACAGGUGUGGGUCUUUAUCCUCUUGCUU
Molecule: long non-coding RNA, 1499 nt
Filed under: Callithrix jacchus (white-tufted-ear marmoset)
Lineage: Eukaryota; Metazoa; Chordata; Mammalia; Primates; Cebidae
Description: lncRNA (ENSCJAG00000073113.1)
Source: RNAcentral